Long non-coding RNA from Lolium perenne, 5481 nucleotides. RefSeq lists it as uncharacterized. The record is from RefSeq and is a predicted model, not a curated record. Lineage: Eukaryota; Viridiplantae; Streptophyta; Magnoliopsida; Poales; Poaceae.
AAGGCCGAAAGUUUCAUAUGCUUCUAGCACCGUCUCACUCUCACUCUCAGUGUCCUUGCACCUGCACACACUGAAGAAAAUAGCACUCAAGUAAAAAAAUUGCACUCACCACUCUGCUUCUCCCUUGACUCCCUGGAUCUUCCCCAACGCCAGCGACCGGACACCCGAUCUGUGACCGGAGACCAAUCGACGCCGUAGUACUGCUCCCCCACCCCCGUCCCUCAUCCUUGCGACAUCCCCAUCCCUUCUCUCGGCUCCAGCUCUCCCCCAUCUUGCCUCCCGUGUGACCGACGGCUCCACAUCAACGACCACCUCCGGCCGGUGACCCAGGACUGGGAGGUGCUCGAUCUCUUCAUGCUCAUGGUCGAUCCAGUGCUAUGCGCUAUCAGAGGUGGACGCGGAGGCACAUGGCUUCUCUACACUUGAACGGCGGCCGCGGUCAUCGCACACCGGAGGGCUCAAGUGCACCGGCCACCAAGAAUACAAGGCUCGAAGCUCAAUCCAGUAAUAAAAUAAAGCAACAGAAUCAGAGCAAGUGAAAAUCCAUGCGGAUUUGCUGCCAGCAAGAUAAAACUCAUGCAGCCGAUGAAGUGUUCCUCCUGGAGGGGAAGGUGGUAAAAAUCAAGGUGGCUAAGACAGAUAUCCUAGCGGCAAGUUGUUGAGGAGCUCUUUGUUGUCGGCACCGGCAUGCGGGAAGAAGCAAUCUGGGCAGACAUUGAUGAUUAUCUACUGGUGGAAGCGUAAGAUUUUACACACUUAUACCGAUGAUUGUUUGGCCAUAAAAAAUGCAUAUUAUUUGGACCUGGGUUCAAAAAACAGUUGUUGCUAAAAUCCGGGUUAGUCUGCCCAGGAUGUACCCAUAAGCUUAUCUUUCAGUAAUAGUAAUUCCUAAAGAUAAAAGAGGAGUGUGUUGGUCAGAGGUUUCACGCUUGCAUUAUGUAUGGUUGCGAGUUGUUGCUUUGAAGGUUCCGGCUCUGGCCUUGGAUUGUGAACCCGAUGUUGACUUCAACAAAGACAUAGAUGCUAGUACUGAAUUUUAGACGCUGUUGCUGCCGGGAGCAAUCCUGGCAGUAACGACAUUACCAUUACCAACCAGCUGCAUAAGCCUGUCAUCAUCGUGUUUGAAAAUAGAACCUAGACCCUUAUCUUUGCCUUGCUUGAGUCAUCAACUUUGGAUCCUGCGAUAUAUUUGGGUCAGCUAAUACAUCAUAUCCCAAAAUACCCUGUUUCUGCACUAGUUAAACUUCAUGUGUAUCCACUUAAAAUGACUGCCAUAACAAUGACCUAUUUUCACGGCAGUUAACAUCUUAUAAUCAAAAUUAGAACAAACACAAGAUAUUCAGAGUAUAUGUUCAGUUAGAUUCAGAACACUAAACUGCAGUGCAGAUAGAUGCAUUAGUGGAGAUGACCAAUAACUCCAAUGAAGUUCCGUUGAUAUUGUACAAAUGAUAACUCUAUAUCUAAGUAAGAAAUUUAAAAAUGUAGUGCAAAUCAGAAGCAUGUGCUCGUGUGGCAGCCCUCUCUUUUGAAACUCGGUAACAUGGACAUAUGCAACAACCUCACCAAAGUACUAUUUUUUAUCAAGAGAUCAUCCUUCAUACUUCGCAAUUUGGCCCUGUAUACUCUCGCCACAAGGUCUGGACGGUCUUGUGGUGUCAGCCCAUGUUCAAGUCUGGCUGUAAUUUCCUACCAGUGCGGGUUGCAAGUCAUUGUGAUAAAGUAAUCAGGCUCCCCAAACCGUUGGACUAUCGCCAUCGCACCAAGGAAUCUUCGCUGCAUGUCUGUAUCACCUCCUGGAAAAAUCCUCGGAAGCACGAUUCUCUUACCAACCCGACAAACACGUGUCUCUCCAGCAUUCAUGACAUCAACAACACCCUUAAGAAAAUAAAUCAAUCAAAACAUCAUUCUGCAUGGUAUUUUUAAAUGUGUAGGGCGAUGUCUGUGUAAUAUAAAAUGGAAACGGAGAACAACAUGAUACCUGGUAUAGAUCAGCAGGAAUGCGUUUUUUAUUCUUAGGCUUGGAGAAGAAAUAAAGUCUCAUAGUCUCCAUCUUGAUGUACAUAUCGACUGCCCAUUGUUGGAACCCACGUGCACCGAACAAUAUAGUGUUGAAGAGUCCUUUCCUGACUUGUAGAUUGAAGCAGUAGUACUCUCUUGCACUGACAAAUUUUCUGGACCCUCCGGUUGCAUUAUCAUCGUGAUCCUCUUCGUCUGCUAGAACAUGGAUAAAGAAAUGAUUGAUUGGUGAUCUCCACAAACAGUGAAUAAAAUGUGAAACAUGUUGAAAGCAUGCGGAUAAUUACAUGCUACCUCAUCCGUGUUUUGUUCCAUAUGUACAUCUGAACUCCGAUCUAGACCUUGCAAGUCUUCACGCUCGAUGUCAUCCUCGGUAUCCUCUUGAGCUACUUGAGGUGGUGUCUCAUAUGGUAUCGAAUGGUUCCAUCCCGUCUCCCCUCUCGGGAAAAAUAAUGGAUACGCCAAACGAUCAUAGCAACCAUAGUAAGCUCUAAUAUAUAUUGGACGGUCCCCUUUGCCAUGCACGACAACUUGCCUAUCAAAAGUGUUUUCUGGGUCACACCCUUAUAUUUGAGCUUUGAUGUCCUCAUUUUUAUUCCUCUCUCUAUCAUAGAAUGUUGGAAAAUAUUUCAAUACUUCGAAUGCUAAAAUUCUUGGUCCGGUGACACUUUAUGGUCGGAAUGAGGGAAGAAGAGAUCUCACAUGGCAGAAAUGAACUUAUCAGGUAACAUAUGUCAUUGUCAUGUCCUGUCGAGUUUUAACCUUGUGCGUGGUGGUCGAACUAAUGAGUUAUGUCCUUUUGUUGCACAUUUAUUAUUGAUGGGAAAUCCUUCUGAUAUCAAUCAACUUCCAUGGCUAAUGUUGUUUUUCCUCUCACAAGAGAAGAAUGAAUCCUCAAUUUCCUUUUGAAGUUAAUAUUUGGGUGCAUUAUCAAUCACCUUCCAUGGUUAAUUAUUUGUUUCGUUUUAGUAGAGAAGAAUAGAUCCCCGGGUUUCCAAUUUUGUGCCUACCUACGAUUUUUAUGGCAGAAAUCAGAUUUUAUAAGCACAUGUGAUCUGAAGAAUAGAUGCACCUUAUCAUACUAAAUUUGUAGGUGGAACGGUCACACACAUGAUCUGGAAUUUUUUACUUUUUUCAAUGUGUAUGAAACUGCGGCUCUGAAACAUACAAUUGAGUUCUUUUAUGUCAUUGCAUUGUUCUAAAUUUGUUUUAUGGCUGCUGGUCAUGGUAGUAAUGCUGAUGGGCCAUAUACCAUGCCGAAAGAGAUAUUGAUUUUGUGUGAGGACAUGAUCACCGGCCUCAAAGAUUCAAGAUGAGCGAGGCGGUGAGGGUUGGCAAUCAAAUUCAUCAGAUUACACGUGUGUGGCACGUGCACCUUUGCUGACAUGCACUUGCAAAUGAAAGGAACAUAUGUGAUCAUAUUUAUUACCAGGUGAAGUAGACGAUGGGGUACAUGUUUGUGCUGCUUUCUUCGAUGCGUGAGCCAUAAGAAGUUUCAUCAGAUAUGCUGCUUUCUUCUCCUUGGAUAGACUUGCAUACCAACUGACUUUUUUUUGUACGACAUUAGCUUGAUCUGGUUGAGCUUCGUUAGUACCAGUACUUCCAGCCAUGCUGCCCACAGCUUGCAUCAUGAAUAUAUAUAGUUUGAUCUUGAACAUUAGAGAAGACAAAUGCAUAAUCUGUGAUUAGGAAAUUUGAACAAGUUAUACGAUCUCAAAGUGUUCUUACAAUGUAAAUCUUGUGUGGUAGAUGAUUCUGUUACUUCGUCAUUGACGCCAUCAGAUGCAACUUUAUUAUGGAGACCGUUUAUUCCUCCCGUCCAUAUGGACUCAAUGUUGAUGAUGAUCAAUGAUCGCUGAGGCACCAACUGUACAUGAAGCACCUGGUGACCCGAGCAGUACAUUGGACGUUAUGUGAUGGCCCAUCCAGUGUGCAUGCUUCUUGGUCAUGCUCAAGAGUAGUCAUGUUUGAAGACUUCUUCUGUUGGCGGGCUAUACGGCGCUUUUCGAGGGUGCAGUUGAAGUUGCGGCGGCGACGUGCUAACCCUGAGAGGGAGACGCGAUCCCAGGUGAUAGGCGUGGGGGAGGCGCAGUCGCAGAGAUAGGAAGAGAGCCUCGGCAAGGUGUAAGCAGGGGUACCCGACGGUGAUGAGCCGGUGUGCAAGAGCCCCGGCGGUGAUGAGUCAGUGUGCAGGAGCCAGCCUGUGUGCUGCACCACACACGCCGCAGAACGGCGGCUAUUUCACGAAGGUAAAAGCCGCGGCAAGGUGUGAGCAGGAGUAGCACGGCCGUGUUGCCGGUGUGCCGGAGGCUGUGCGUGCGUUGCAGCACAGAUCGCGGGAGAUGGGUAGUUUUUUCCCCAAGGUGGAGCUGUGAACUGCUGCCACGCGUGAAAGAACGGCAGUUAUGUUGUUGUUUUUUUUUCCUGGAAUAAUCGCUAGCUUUUGCUAAGUGAUCGUUUGGUGGAGAUGUUUAGCGCUUAACAUUGGAGCCUCGUGGGACGUUGGAUGUACUUUUUGAACGGCUGAUAUUGUUUGGAUCUCCGGCUCUCUCUCUUUUUAUAUUAGCCAAUACGACCGUGUCUUCUUCCCAGAUCAUACCUCCCAGAUUCUCCGACCGGCACGGGAGAACGAGGCGGAGGGGCUCCCUUCGCCGCUCGAUUCGUGGCGUGGGGGUCGUCGCGCGCGCUGAUUGUCCUCCACGGGAGAUUGACCUUCCUAUGGGAUUGGAGCAGCAUAAAGAGGCGAGGGUCGAACCCAUGGACUGCUAGCGGCGCAUCUUGCGGGAAGAAGUGAGGGAGGAGACCGGUGCUGGAGAAGGAGCGUCUUCGGCAUCGGCGUGCGUGGUAGCGUCGCUUGGGAGACGGGGCUUGGCCCGAUGGGCUGCCAGCGGCACAUCUGAGGGGGAGAAGUGAGAGAGGCAACCGCUGGUGAAGAAGGAGCGCCUUCGGACUCGGGUAGGCCGGGUGCAGUGUCGCUGGGGAAGGGAGAGGGUGCAGGCGCUGUCUUGAAAACCGGAGGAGCUCCACGUCCUCCAGCUGCAGACUGACAAGGAGUACGACGAGGCCCGGGCUGUUUGGCCGCCGGACACAUGGAAAAAUGAAGUGGCCCGGGUCGACGCAGUUUGCUCCUAUACUGAAUUUAGCUGAUGAUGCUGUAAGUGAAAUUUGGUUUUGGUUUACGCUGUGUAUAUAUUGCUCGUUCGUUCCUGCUGAUUGAUUCGGCUGUGAUAAAAUGACAGAGAGAAGAGAUGCUUUGCUGCUGAUUGUUUGUGCUACGCAUGAUUGCUGCUGAUUGCUUCGGUGGGGAAGUAACUUUUUAUAGGAUCAAUAAUCAAUUUUGCCACUGGUUGCAUGUACUGAAUAAAACUGCUACUAUAUAUGGUGUUUUAUAGAAUGCAGUAAAUGUCAAGGAGGAUUUUUGUUUCAUCAGAAUAAAACUGCUACUAUAUAUGGUGUUUUAUAGAA